GACGAACGCUGGCGGCGUGCCUAAUACAUGCAAGUGGGACGCAAGGAAACACACUGUGCUUGCACACCGUGUUUUCUUGAGUCGCGAACGGGUGAGUAACGCGUAGGUAACCUGCCUAUUAGCGGGGGAUAACUAUUGGAAACGAUAGCUAAUACCGCAUAAUAUUAAUUAUUGCAUGAUAAUUGAUUGAAAGAUGCAAGCGCAUCACUAGUAGAUGGACCUGCGUUGUAUUAGCUAGUUGGUAAGGUAAGAGCUUACCAAGGCGACGAUACAUAGCCGACCUGAGAGGGUGAUCGGCCACACUGGGACUGAGACACGGCCCAGACUCCUACGGGAGGCAGCAGUAGGGAAUCUUCGGCAAUGGACGAAAGUCUGACCGAGCAACGCCGCGUGAGUGAAGAAGGUUUUCGGAUCGUAAAGCUCUGUUGUAAGUCAAGAACGUGUGUGAGAGUGGAAAGUUCACACAGUGACGGUAGCUUACCAGAAAGGGACGGCUAACUACGU
This 504-nucleotide ribosomal RNA is filed under the name uncultured bacterium. RNAcentral describes it as "partial 16S ribosomal RNA". It matches the Rfam family "Bacterial small subunit ribosomal RNA", at positions 28 to 506 of the family's 1533-position model. The record is from RNAcentral.